RNAcentral lists this ribosomal RNA (263 nucleotides) under uncultured bacterium. Its description in RNAcentral is "partial 16S ribosomal RNA". It matches the Rfam family "Bacterial small subunit ribosomal RNA", at positions 29 to 289 of the family's 1533-position model. The record is from RNAcentral.
AUUAACGCUAGCGGCAGGCAUAAUACGUGCAAGUUGAACGGCAGCACAGGUAGCAAUACUGGGUGGCGAGUGGCGCACGGGUGCGUAACACGUAUGCAACCUACCCUAUACAGGCGAAUAACCUUUAGAAAUGAGGGCUAAUACGCCGUAGUAUUACAGAUGGGCAUCUAUUUGUAAUUAAAGAUUUAUCGGUAUAGGAUGGGCAUGCGUCCCAUUAGUUAGUUGGUAAGGUAACGGCUUACCAAGACGAUGAUGGGUAGGGG